This 484-nucleotide ribosomal RNA is filed under the name Pantopsalis sp. DNA100702. RNAcentral's name for it is "partial 16S ribosomal RNA". It matches the Rfam family "Bacterial large subunit ribosomal RNA", at positions 1829 to 2600 of the family's 2925-position model. The record is from RNAcentral. Lineage: Eukaryota; Metazoa; Arthropoda; Arachnida; Opiliones; Neopilionidae.
UUCUUUAAGCAAAUAAAUUAAAGUAUUGCCUGCCCAUUGAAAUUUUGAAAGGCCGCAGUAUAUUGACUGUGCUAAGGUAGCAUAGUCAUUUGGUUUUUAAUUGAGAUCUGGAAUGAAGGGUAAAACGUUUUAAUGUCUAUUAAAUUUUAUUUAGUUUUGAAUUUAAAUUUUUAGUAAGAAUUCUAAAAUUUUUUUGAGGGACGAUAAGACCCUAUAAAGCUUUAUCUACUAAUGAUUUUUUUUCUUUUCUAAUAAAAGUUUUUAUUAAAUUUUGUUGGGGCGACAACCAAAUUAAAUCUUGGUUUAAUAAAUUUUUUGAUCCAAAAAUUUUGAUAAUUUGAAAAAGUUACUUUAGGGAUAACAGUAUAAUUUAUUCAGGGAGUUCAAAUCGGAGAAUAAGCUUGUUACCUCGAUGUUGAAUUAAAGUUAUUAUUAGGUGUAGUCGUUUAAUAAAAUUAGUCUGUUCGACUAUUAAAUCUUUACG